UGGGGGGAGAAGAAGAAAGUCGGUGAAGAGCCGACCCUGACGGUAUCCCCUUAGCAAGCACCGGCUAACUCCGUGCCAGCAGCCGCGGUAAUACGGAGGGUGCAAAUGUUGCUCGGAAUCAUUGGGCGUAAAGCGCGCGUAGGCGGCUGAACAAGUUGGAUGUGAAAGCCCUGGGCUCAACCUAGGAUGUGCAUUCAAAACUGUUCGGCUUGAGUCUCGGAGGGGGUCAGAGAAUUCUCGGUGUAGAGGUGAAAUUCGUAGAUAUCGGGAGGAACACCAGUGGCGAAGGCGCUGACCUGGACGAUGACUGACGCUGAGGCGCGAAAGCGUGGGGAGCAAACAGGAUUAGAUACCCUGGUAGUCCACGCCGUAAACGAUGAGUGCUAGACGCUGGCGGAUUGACCCCGUCGGUGUCGAAGCUAACGCGUUAAGCACUCCGCCUGGGGAGUACGGUCGCAAGACUAAAACUCAAAGGAAUUGACGGGG
Molecule: ribosomal RNA, 486 nt
Filed under: uncultured bacterium
Lineage: Bacteria
Description: bacterial SSU rRNA
Rfam family: Bacterial small subunit ribosomal RNA
Source: RNAcentral